GCACAAGCGGAGGAGCAUGUGGCUUAAUUCGAUGCAACGCGAAGAACCUUACCUGGGUUUGACAUGUACCUGCACGUCCCGUGAAAGCGGGAUUCCUUCGAGGGUGGUACACAGGUGCUGCAUGGCUGUCGUCAGUUCGUGCCGUGAGGUGUUUGGUUAAGUCCAGCAACGAACGCAACCCCUGUGCCCAAUUGCCAGCGCGUAAUGGCGGGAACUUUGGGCAGACUGCCUGUUUACGCAGGAGGAAGGUGGGGACGACGUCAAGUCAGUAUGGCCCUUACAUCCAGGGCUGCACACGUGCUACAAUGGCCGGUACAAAGGGACGCAAGACCGCGAGGUGGGGCAAACCCCCAGAGCCGGCCCCAGUUCAGAUUGCAGUCUGCAACCCGACUGCAUGAAGUUGGAUUCGCUAGUAACGGCGCAUCAGCUACGGCGCCGUGAAUACGUUCCCGGGCCUU
RNAcentral lists this ribosomal RNA (458 nucleotides) under uncultured Lentisphaerota bacterium. RNAcentral's name for it is "bacterial SSU rRNA". It matches the Rfam family "Bacterial small subunit ribosomal RNA", at positions 923 to 1382 of the family's 1533-position model. The record is from RNAcentral. Lineage: Bacteria; Pseudomonadati; Lentisphaerota.